RNAcentral lists this ribosomal RNA (530 nucleotides) under Gordonia sp. GPM2606. RNAcentral's name for it is "bacterial SSU rRNA". It matches the Rfam family "Bacterial small subunit ribosomal RNA", at positions 140 to 689 of the family's 1533-position model. Lineage: Bacteria; Bacillati; Actinomycetota; Actinomycetes; Mycobacteriales; Gordoniaceae. The record is from RNAcentral.
GGGAUAAGCCUGGGAAACUGGGUCUAAUACCGGAUAUGACCAGUUGGUGCAUGCCUUCUGGUGGAAAGCCUUGUGCGGUUGGGGAUGGGCCCGCGGCCUAUCAGCUUGUUGGUGGGGUAAUGGCCUACCAAGGCGACGACGGGUAGCCGACCUGAGAGGGUGAUCGGCCACACUGGGACUGAGACACGGCCCAGACUCCUACGGGAGGCAGCAGUGGGGAAUAUUGCACAAUGGGCGCAAGCCUGAUGCAGCGACGCCGCGUGAGGGAUGACGGCCUUCGGGUUGUAAACCUCUUUCACCAGGGACGAAGCUUUUGUGACGGUACCUGGAGAAGAAGCACCGGCCAACUACGUGCCAGCAGCCGCGGUAAUACGUAGGGUGCGAGCGUUGUCCGGAAUUACUGGGCGUAAAGAGCUCGUAGGCGGUUUGUCGCGUCGUCUGUGAAAUUCUGCACUUAACUGCAGGCGUGCAGGCGAUACGGCAGACUUGAGUACUACAGGGGAGACUGGAAUCUGGUGUAGCGUGAAUGC